UACGUAGGGGGCGAGCGUUGUCCGGAUUUAUUGGGCGUAAAGCGUGCGUAGGCGGCUUCGCAAGUCGGGUGUGAAACCCCGGGGCUCAACCCCGGAACUGCAUCCGAUACUGCGUGGCUAGAGGUAGGUAGGGGAGAUCGGAAUUCCUGGUGUAGCGGUGAAAUGCGCAGAUAUCAGGAGGAACACCGGUGGCGAAGGCGGAUCUCUGGGCCUUACCUGACGCUCAGGCACGAAAGCUAGGGGAGCGAACAGG
RNAcentral lists this ribosomal RNA (253 nucleotides) under uncultured bacterium. Its description in RNAcentral is "partial 16S ribosomal RNA". It matches the Rfam family "Bacterial small subunit ribosomal RNA", at positions 524 to 776 of the family's 1533-position model. The record is from RNAcentral.